RNAcentral lists this long non-coding RNA (7917 nucleotides) under Medicago truncatula (barrel medic). RNAcentral describes it as "long non-coding RNA (MTRU_LNC004521)". The record is from RNAcentral. Lineage: Eukaryota; Viridiplantae; Streptophyta; Magnoliopsida; Fabales; Fabaceae.
GGUGGUAUAGGCCCUUCAUAUACAGGUGGUGGUGGCGGCGAUGAAUAUACCGGUGGUGGAGGUGAGGGAUAUGCAUAUACUGGUGAUGGUGGGGGUGAGGUGUAUACCGGUGGUGGCGGUGAGGGAUAGGCAUAUACUGGUGAUGGUGGUGGUGAUGGGGAUGGUGGUGGGUGAUAAGGUGUUUGAUGUGGCGCUGGCGAUGAUGGUGGUGGAGGUUCUACACAAGGUGGCGGUGGAGGUGGUGGAGGUUCUACACAAGGUGGUGGAGAUGGCGGUGGUGGUGAAUAGACUGGUGGUGGAGGUGAGUGUACUGGAGGAGGUGGUGGGGGUGAUAAAUAUGGAUAUACGGGUGGAGGAGGUGAGUGAGGUGGUGGUGGUGGCGAACCUCUAGAGUCGACUAACAGGGCAUGGCCAGAUUUGGNNNNNNNNNNNNNNNNNNNNNNNNNNNNNNNNNNNNNNNNNNNNNNNNNNNNNNNNNNNNNNNNNNNNNNNNNNNNNNNNNNNNNNNNNNNNNNNNNNNNGGAAGAUGUGAGAGAGGAGGGGAGGUGUGGGUUGGAGAGGAGGAGCGACGGUGACAUGCGAGAAGAAGGGUAAUAAAGAUUACAGCGAGUGGAGUCGAGUCGAUAGAGAGCCAGGGAGUGCGUGUGGGUGGAGAGACGAUGUAUGGUCGGGAAUGGGUCUUGACGUAUUGUGAGGCUGAUGCGGAGGUAUUGAGAGAGAUGGAUGGGGUCUGGAAGAUGGUGGUCAUGCGGAGUGGGGGAUGGGGGCAAGCGGUAAGUGGGCGAUUGGAGCGAGGGAAGCUUAUAUGUAGGAUGGGAGGAGGUGAGGGACGGGGUCUGUGGGGGAGGGGGGGGUGGGGGUGGAGAGAGGUAGGUUGGAAAGGCGAUAGAAGGAAUGGAGAGUGAUCAUGAGAGUCGAUUAAGCGCAUGUUCGCGGGCGGGGAAGGGAGAGGUUGGGAGGUUUGGGUAGAUUGAGAACGCGUCGGGAGGAGUGGGUGGUUGGAGGGAGUGAUGGAGGGGGAGGGGGGAGGGGUGGGGAGGGGGAGGGAGAGUGGGGAGGGGGGGGAGGUGGGGGGUGGGGGGGAGGGGAUGAGUGGAGGGGGUAGUAGAUAGAUAAACCAGGUGGGGGGGUGGUGGGGGGAGAAGGUGGGUGGAGGUGAUGGCGGAGUGGGUGGUGGGGAGUAAACUGGUGGAGGUGGUGGUGGAGGUGAAGGUGGUGGUGGUGAAGGAGGUGGGGGUGGUGGUGAAUAUACUGGCGGUGGUGGUGGAGGUGGAGAAUACACUGGCGGUGGUGGAGAAAACACUGGUGGUGGUGGUGAGGGCGGUGGUGGAGACAAUACUGGUGAUGGUGGUGGAUUAAAUACCGGUGUCGGUGGAGUAACAACUGGAGGUGGAAACACCGGCGACGGCGGCGGUGACGGCAAAGAAGGAACAAAUGCUUUACAUCUAAAAGCAUUACAAUUAACAUGGUGAGACGCAAACGCCUUACACGUCUUCGCCGGCCGUUGUCUUGGUCUCGCCGGUAAACAAUUCUGUCUAUCAUCCGCCGCCGGCAACACCAAACACUGCGGUGGUUCACCGGUAAAGAAGUUAUAACUGUAAGUAAAAUUCACCAAAUUCGGCAACGCACAAAUACUCGCCGGAAUUUGACCGGAAAGAUAAUUAUGAGCCACAUUCAACACUUCCAAACCCACAGCAUUUCCAUACUUCUCUGGCAACGGCCCCAAAAACUUGUUGAAACUAACAUCAAACACAGUCAAAUUCUUCAACAACCCUACUUCCUCAGGCAAACACGCUUGAAAACCGUUAUUCAUCGCAAUAAUCUCAUUUAAUCUCGUCAUAUUGCCAAUCCCAGCUGGCAAACAACCGUGGAAACGGUUGUUCGCCAGUACAAUCACUGACACCGGAGAAUUACCAAAAUUCUCCGGUAAAUUAAACACAAAACGGUUAUGAUUGAUGAAAAUAGCAUCCAAAUCUUUAUCAAAGAGCUCCUUAGGUACAGUUCCUUCAAAUUCAUUGAACCUCAGAUCUAGAAAUUUUAACUCCGGUAACCGGAGAACAACCUCCGGAAACUUUCCGGCGAAACGAUUGUUACUCAGAUCCAAUUCAAACAAGAUUUUCAACUUCUCGAAUUUAUGUGGAACAGUUCCACAAAAUCGAUUAGUAUUAACAUGAAAUAAAGCGAGAUCGGUCAAAAGACCGAGCUCUUCCGGUAAGUAUCCGGCUAUAUCACAGUGAUUAAGAUCGAUACCAGCGACGGUAUUGAUCUUAGGAUUAUCAAGUGCGGGUGCACAGAAAACAUUGGUGUAGCUGCAAACAUCGGAACCUACCCAAUCAACGGUGCAGUUACGUGGAUCAGAAAGAAUAGCUUGUUUAAAAGCUUGUAAUGCCACGUAAGCGUUUUUGAUGCGGUUGUUGGAGAAAACUAGGGUUGGAUCCACCGUAACAUUUUCACCUCUGUCGUUGAAUUCAUCUCUGUAGUAUAGGAGUUGUCUAUGUUUUAUGUAUUGUGUUUCUGCUUCUGUAAGGUGGGACCCAUCUGAGACAAUGGAUGAGGAUAGUGUUGUUGUUAAACUUAGGAAGAAUGAAAAAAGAACAAUAACAUAAGAUGGAGAUGAAUAAUGCUGUUUCUUCCUCAUCUCACAUGAGGCAUCUGAAAAAAAAUAAUGAAUGUUGUUUUUCACUAGUGAAUGUUUAGAUGAUUCUAAAUGUGUGUUCUUUGUGGUUAACUAGCACAAAUAAAAUUUGAAGUAAGGAUAUGGUAAGAUUAUGAGUUUGUGAGAUCUAAGAGAAAUGGAAAUGGAAAAUGUGGUUGUUUAAUGUGAGAGAGGUAGAGAGAGAAGAUGAGGAAGAUGAUUUUCUAGGGAUUUUGGAACUGUGUGAGAAGGUGUAUAUGAGUGUGUGAAGAGAGAGAAGGUGAGAGUGGAGAUGAAAUAAUUCAUUCCAAGGGACAGCUAAAUCACAGCUCAAAGCCCACCAGAUUCUCUCUCUAUCUUUUUUCCUAGGCUCUUGUUUUUUUAUUCAUAUUUAUGGUUGGUCUUAUUUGUUUUUUUCACUUAACAUUUUUUUCUAACCAUUGUUUAGAUAUACUUGAUCUCCACUAAACUCUCUAAACCAAUCUUUUCUAUUACGAGAAUCACGGUGAUUUGUGAUUUUAUUCAAGCUAUAUAUUUCUUUUUUGACAGAUUAUUGAAGCUAUAUAUAAAAUUACAAUAUAUCACUGUAAUUGCGACAUACACCUGUAAUAUCAAAUAUAUACUAAGAUAUUUUUAGAGUUAAUGAGUCUGUUAAAAGACUAAAAUAUGAGUCCAUUGUCAUGACGUCAACACUUUCAUUAUUAUGUAGUUAUAACUUAUUUGUUUGUGCAUUUUAUUUUUGUGACUUACUAUCGUUUCGUAUACAAAGAAUGUAAGACUAAUCAACUGUAGUUGACAUACAUGAUUUUAGUUGUAACUUUGAUUUUAGUCUAAAAUUUCACUAAUAUGAGUAGUAAGGUUAAUGUUUCUAACAUGGGUGUCCCUUAACUUAAAAUUCUAUUUCCAUUAAAAAAUGCAAGACUAUUUUAGCAUUUACUCUAUUAACUAUAGGUUAAAUUUUUCUAAUUCUUGGUUAAACUACAUUUCAUUUGAGCCAAGAAAAAAACUUAGUUGUCACACACUUUGAAUAAAGGGCAGACGCGGAUAGAAGAAAGAAUAAGGCGUGUGCAAUGGAAUAAACAGUUGUCAAAAAUUAGUAAUAAGACUUCUUAAACCAAAAGAGAAAAACAAGUAUUCUUUUAAGUUGAAAAUAUGUUUAGAAAAAAAAUUAUCAUAAAAAAAAAAAACUAAUCAUUGUUUCCAUUACUAUAUUUUAAACAAAAAAAAUAUAAUGAUGAUUAUUUAGAGUUGUUGUAACUUACUAGUAUUUUUUUAUUGAAGAAAAUAUAGAAAGCUGUUAGCAUGAUCCUCAACUUUGAUGGUAGCUUAAGUUUAAUUAAAUAAUAAUUAAUCAAAGUGUUAAUUGAAUUGUCAAAUCGUUUUGUUUAAUCAUAACCUGAGAAGUGGUUGUUUGUGUCGGCGUCUAUUGCCAUAUCAGCAACCUCUUUUUUAAAUUUAAAUAAAUAAAUAGACAAUAAAAUAAAUUAAUAAAAUUAAGAAUUAAAUUAUGUCAUGGUAUUUGGACUUUUUCAAAUUUCUACAAUCCCGUGAUAUUGAUAAUUUGUGGACGGCUUUUUUGCCUUAUGAAUGAAUUUAUGGCUUUUUCAGAUUAACUUACUCCACCGAUUUCUCUUUUUUUAAUUAAAAUUCUUUUGGAGAUUCUUAAUUAUAGAUGACUAAUUUUAGAGCAACUAAUUAUGGAAAGCAAAAUGUUGAUUGACUUUGAGAGUUAUUAGUAGGUCCUACGAUGUAGAAGAAUGUCAUUGGUCCAUUAGGAAGAAAAUUCAAAGUAUUUUGAUGACGAUUAUUCCGCAAUAGAGACCAAUUAAUAAGAUUGAAUUGAAUGAUUAAGACAAUCCCCAUGUAGAUAGUUGUGUUUAACGGUGAGUAAAUCAUUCCGAAUUUAAUAUGUAUAAUUCUUUUUAACAAAAUGAGUUUCUUUUGUCUCACAAUAAAUAUUACUCAUAUUUUACUGUAGUUUAGGUAGAUGGGUACUCUCUGUCCAUCUAUCCGUUCUUUUUAUUGCAUUAAUAUGUAUAAUUUAUGAACUAUAGUUUUUAUGAAUUUUUGUUUUUUUUUUAAUAAACAAAAAUGGAAUAUAUAUUAAUAAUAAAGAAGCCGCAACUCAAUCACAAGAUGUGCCCAAAGAAGUCAACUCACGUUUACAACCAGAGUCCAACAACCGAAGACAAAAACAGACGAAUUAUGCUCAUUGCCCAAAUGGAUUCGCUCAUUCCCAAAGUAAAUGAUCGAAAUGCCCCUACGCAUGUUAACAUGCGCUAGUGCAAAUUAGAACAUAACUUAAGAUAUGUUGCCUAAGUUAACAUGCACUAGUGUUAAUUGUGUGUUAUUUGUUGAAUACUUAGCGUAUGUUAACAUGCGCCAGUGUAUUGUGUAACGUGAGUUAACUCACGUUUCCAUUUGCUCUAGCGUUAGUUAACUCACGUUCAUACUCCCUCCAUUCCUUUUCUUUUGAUGUUUUAGAACUUCAACUAUAUUCCAAAACUUUUGAUGUUUUAGUGAAUUUGUUAUUGUUUUCUCAAGUUUACCCUUGUUGGAAAACACAAUAAACUAUUAAAGUAGUUGUGACCUUUGGUUUAUCAUAUGUGACUUUAAUGAUAAAUACGGACAUUUAAGUAAAAAAUACACAAAUGUUUAUAUACUUUAAUUACUCCUUAAAACUUGUGUCAAGAGCUAAAACAUCAAAAGAAAAUGAAUGGAGGGAGUAGAAGACAACAGAAACUGCAAUAAGUGCAGGCAGUUACAGAACUGUCUUUUGAAAAGUUUAGAAUGACCCGUAAUCACGACACAUUCAUAACUUAACCGAAUUACGCCAGUUUAAGAAGAUUAUCGAAUAAUACGACAUAAUCGAUCCAAAUUACUCAAAAACAUCGUUUUUCUCACAAUCACGUAAUCACACAUAAACGAUCCAAACGGUCCAAAUUUCACAAAUUCGCCGAUAAUGACCCGUAAUAAUUUAAACACACUCAAUGACACGUAAACGAUCCAAAAUAAUUCAUUUCAUAUAUUUAUAUAAUAUUAGGUACAUAUUGGCCAUAAAUAUCAAAAUUACACAACCAGCCACCAAAAAAAUAUGUCGGGGUGUAAUACCACCAAAAAAUAUAACGAACACCGACCAACCCAAAAGUGUCAUAACCUAUCUAACAAGACUAGUGAUAGUGCAUAUUCUUCGUCUUCAUCCAUGACUUUGAUCUCUUGCUUUGACUUUUCCGGAGUGUCCAAAUUAAUAGGAUUGUGCUCAUUUGUUGGUUUCUUUGGCGGCAUCGGCUCCUUAGACAUGAGCUCAUCGAGGGCGGCUUUUCUAUCGAAAAACUGAAAAAGUCAUUGCUCCACCUCACCAAUCUUGUGAGUCAUCCACUCCUUAGAAGGAGGUGGUAGCGGACAAUUUUCUUUCAACUUCACAUGAAGAAAGUGUUCCGGAAUUAUGCAAAGGCACAUUAUGUUGGAAUGUGGAUUAAGUGGUGGAGCACUCCGGAUUGGGAAAUAUGCCUACUGAAAUAAAAACGAUACUACCAGCAAAACCAGCAAAAAUGAAAGAGUUUUGACGGUACAUUACAUGUUCUUUGAUGCUUGAUGAGCGUAGAAAUUUGUUUCCUGACGAUUUGCAAAGAUUUGGAAUGAAGAUUUUUACCCAAAAUUUCGCACUUUUGGGGUUUUUGGAGGUGGAGGAAAAGAAAAAAUGGAGCUUUGUGGUUGCCUGCUGGAUUUUGAACGAAAAUAGUACUUAACACAAGUUAACAUGCGCUACGUGACUUAAGUAACGUAGCGCAUGUUAACUUGCAUAGGGGCAUUUCAGUCAUUUACUUUGGGAAUGAGCGGAACCAUUUGGAUAAUGAGCAUAAUUCAAAACAGAUUAACCAAUGUCUAAACAAACAAGCGGGCCCAACAACCAACUAUAAAACCCAAGUGCAUAAAUAGCAUUAGCUACCUUCAUCAACCAAUACAAAUGGAUUUUAACUUUGUCUAACAAUUAAAUAAGGGUGUUUUCAAUGUUAUUAAAAAUUCCAUUAUUACGUUAAGUUCAUAACACUCAAAUGUAACAGCCCGAUUUUUAGCUAGAUUUAUUUUAAUUACUUUUAUUUUGUGUUUGUGUGUGAUUUUACCGGGGUUAAUAGUGCUUUUCACCCCUGUAAUAUAUGUCAUUUUCGGUUUGAUUUGCACCCUUGUAAAAAUUUUAUUUUCCGAAAAACACCCCUAAUAGGCCAUUUUCAGAAUUUUUUUUCAAGAAAUUUUGGUUUUUGAAUGGCCUAAUAAGGGUGUUUUCUGGAAAAUAAAUUUUUUACGAUGGUCCAAAUCAAACCGAAAAUUUUAUAGGGGCGAAAAUCGAAAAUGACAUAUAUUACAAGGGUGAAAAACACUAUUAACCCUAUUUUACCGUUAUUAGUUAAAAUAUCGUUUGGAGUGUAGAAAUAUUUUUGGUUUGAAUAGAAACGGGUUAAGCCCAGUAGGGUCUAGAAUUGAGCCCAAUUGAGUUGGAGCAUACCUAAACCUAAAACUUGGAGAGAAAUUCAUUCAUUCCUUUUCAUUUCACAAAGUUAGAGAGGUAGAGAGAGAAAGUGGAAGAAAUGAAGAACAAGGGUUAGAGAAAGGGGGAAGCUUGAAGAUUGAAGAAUUAGGAGCUAAAGUGAAGCUUAAGUUUGGAUUAAUCAUUAUCUAAGGUAAGGGGGUUAGUCUUCAUCAUAAUCAUAAUUGUUUUGUUUGCAAUUUUCUUUAUUUGUAUGAAAAAGUGCUUAAUUGAGCAAGUAUUUAUCUGAACCCAAUCUUUGAAUUUCGUGCUCUUGUUUUGGUGAUAAGUUUGAGUAUGUUAAUUGAAUGAUAAAUGAAUUGUUGGUGAUGAAAUAACAUGUUCAUAAUGUAUGAAAAUGGGUAGUUGUGAAAUUAUGCUUAAUUGAUGAAUUGUGACAUGUUAUUGUUGAAUUGAGGUGAGAAUCAAGUUUCAAUUGAUGUUGUUGUUGCUGAGAUAUGUUGUUGUUUAUGAUUAUGGCUUGGGUGUUCAUAUAUCAUGAUUGUUGGUGAGAAAUAAGAUGCUGUUGGUUGUUUUGCAAAAAUGGGUCAAAUGGUGAUUUUGUUUAAAAUGAUGUUUGAUUCAAGUAGUUAUAUAAAAUUGAGUGUCUUUUCAUGUUGAGAAACGUUUGGAUGCACUUUGGGAUCGAAUUUGGAUAAUGGGAAGUCAAAAAUUGGGAUUUUGGGGUGAAAAUGGAUUUUUCCUGUAAAACAGAAUUUUCUGAACUGUGCUCCCUCGCAAGGCGAGCUGGUGGCGA